Molecule: long non-coding RNA, 4504 nt
Filed under: Canis lupus familiaris (dog)
Lineage: Eukaryota; Metazoa; Chordata; Mammalia; Carnivora; Canidae
Description: lncRNA (ENSCAFG00845028297.1)
Source: RNAcentral
CUCCUCUCCUGGCCAAUCCUAUAAAAGGAUGGGCUUGGCUCAUAAACCAAUCAGAGACCCCCAAGGGGGCGGAGUUUUCUUUGGCCUGGAUCUCUGCCUGAGGGGUAAAACUAAAACGUUUCCACCUCCAGCCAAUCCCAGAGAAGGCAGGAGCGCACUCCUCCAAUGGGAGCCCGAGAGCGGUCAGUGGCCGUGGAGGCCUGCUACCCCCGCUAGCUCUCCAGCCCGCCGGAGGGACGCUAGAUCCAGCCGCCGGCCCCUUGAAUCUGCUCCCCCUCGGCAGCGGUGGCGCGGAGGGCAGGAGGUGUCUGGUGAGACGGUCAGCGGGUAUCGGAGGAUCGUGCGGGUAGCAAAGGGAUGGCGAGUGCCCCUGCAGCCCCAGACAACAACCAGGUGUCCUUUUUCUCUGGAUGCUUUGAAGAUCCUUCUUUGAUUAUUGCUUGAUGCUAAAAGCUUUUUUUUAAUUUAUUUUUUAUUGGUGUUCAAUUUACUAACAUACAGAAUAACCCCCAGUGCCCGUCACCCAUUCACUCCCACCCCCCGCCCUCCUCCCCUUCUACCACCCCUAGUUCGUUUCCCAGAGUUGAUGCUAAAAGCUUUUUGUUGUCAUUCUCUAUAUGUUCCUUUAUUUAUGAAUGGAAAAAGUUCCCCCAUUGCUUUUCUAGGCAAUUAUUAAAAUAGAUAAUGGUUAUUGACUUCUAUACAUUUAACUUAUAAGCCACCUCAUGAGUAUAUUCAUUUUAAUGCAUUUUUCUCAUCAGAACCUUUUGGGCUUCCUGGGCAUAAAAUAAUAUCAGCAACAAAUAGGUUUUUUAUCUCUGCUUUUCUAGUGUUAUACCAGUCACCUCAUUUUUUUGCCCUACUGUUCCUUUAUAGCUUCCAAGACAAGGUUGAGUAUAUGGUAGUAGCAGGUAGUCCUGUUUUGUUCCUGAUAAUUUUGAUCAUCUGAUAAAUGUUCCAGUGAAUAUUUGUUGAGAGGCCAUGUUCUAGGGCCUGAGAAUACCGAGGGGAUGAACCUUUCUUUUUAGAGCUUCCUGAUCUUGCUUCAUGAAUGCAGUAUUUUUUCAUGUCACUCUGAGGACAUUAAAUCCUCAGUCUUCAGUCCAAGUCUUUGUUUCCAAAUAUGUAUAUUUGGGUGUCAGCAGCAGUGGGAAACUCACUGAUGUCAGAUUUGACCUGAGGCACCAGAGAUUCCAAAGACACGAUAUAUUCUGAAGUCUUAGAGUUUGUAUAAAUAGUAGGGGUGGGAAGGGGCCCCUCUCCUAGUGUGCAAGUACAGAACAGUGCCACACUUCUGUCACUCGAGACCUUAGUAGUGCAGUGGAUUCUGGCGCAGACUGCCUGGAAUCAAAUUCCAGAUCUGUCAUUUCAUAGGGGAGGCAGGGGACUUCUUUAUUUGUAGUUUCACCUGUAAAAAUGAGGGUAAUAACAGUACUUAUUUCAUAGGGUGGUUGAGGGUAUUAAAUGAGUUAAUUUAGAAUAGUGUCUGACACACAGUGAGUCCAAGUCCAGCUCUCUAUGUGUUUGCUAUUAUUACCAUCAUUACUUUUGCGCUUGAAGGGAGUAGAAUUUCUUUUUUCUUUUUUAAAGAUUUUAUUAUUUUUUCAUGAGAGACACACAGAGAGAGAGGCAGAGACAUAGGCAGAAGAAGAAGCAGGCUCCAUGCAGGGAGCCCGACGUGGGACUCAAUCCUGGGACUCCAGGAUCACACCCUGAGCCAAAGGCAGACGCUUAACCGCUGAGCCACCCCAGGCAUCCCGAAGUAGAAUUUCUUUAGUGCAAUGAGAAAAGCAGAGAGUGUAUCCUGUCCUGUGUGUUCUCCCAGUGUCUUGGAGACAAAGGUCAUUCACAAAAACCACAAAGUCAAGAAUUUGAAGCAGUGUUUUGGGCACCUGAGGGUGUGGGAUAUCAAAUUCAUUAGGUAGAAUGGGAUAGGAUUCCUCAGUGGGAAGACAGGAAGUAGUGUAUUUAAGGGUGGACCCCUCUUGAGAAGAUGACCUAUAUUGGCUGUUUCCUUAGUGCAGAGCAAUACCAAGUGGGGGAACAGUGACAGUGAGGCGUUAUUUCAGGGCAAGGGAUUUCUUAAGCAUUUAAUAAUGCUUUUCUUUUCAGAACAAACCUGUCAGGUACUGAGAGGCUUUAAAGGGUGUGAUAGCUCUUCAGACUGAGAACCUGCAUCUGUUGAGGGGCAAGGCUGCUGCCAGGAUUUGAUUCAUGCUUCCAGAGGUAGGACUUGCCAAUCAGAAAUGCUUUCAGUCUCUGUCUUAAAUUUUCUGGGACCCUCUCUGAGUUUGGGAAAAGUCUCAGACUUAGUAACCAUCCCAGACAAGAUCUGGAGGAUUUGGACGGGACGAGGGGUUCAUACUGAAGAUAAGUACUUGGUGGUGAGGCAAAUUUGAAGAAACAGUAUCAAAAGUGAAAGUUCAAGAGAUGCAAAAAAUGGGUUUUUUUUUUUUUUGGAGAGAGAGAGAAAGAACGAGCGAGAGAGAAUCUCGAGCAGGAUCCACACCCAGCCUGACAUGGGGUCUGAUCCCAUGACCCUAAGAUCAUGACCUGAACUGAAAUCAAGAGUCAGAAUCUCAACUGACGGGGCCACUUAGGUACCUCAAGAGAUGCAAAAAUUUUAACUAACACUUUAUCAAAUCAAAUUGAACAUUAUAUACUACAUGUUGGCAAAUCGAACUUCAUUUAAAAAAUUUUUUUAAUUGAACAGUAUAGGGCAGUCUGGGUGGCUCAGCGGUUUAGCGCCUGCCUUCAGCCCAGGGCAUGAUCCUGGAGUCCCGGGAUUGAGUCCCUUGUCGGGCUCCCUGCAUGGAGCCUGGUUCUCCCUCUGCCUGUAUCCCUCUGCCUCUCUCUCUGUGUGUCUCUCAUGAAUAAAUAAAUAAAAUCUUUUUUAAAAAUUGAACAGUAUAUUAGUAAGAUAGGAUAUCAUGACCAAGUGGGGUUUAUCUCAGGAAUACAGGGUGGGUUUAACAUUGGAAAAUCAGUGCAAUUCACCAUGUCAAUAAACCAAGACAAGAAAAACCCAUAUGAUCAUUGCAAUAAUGCAGAAAAGCAUUUGACAAAUCCCAAUAUCCAUUUCUGAUUAAAAAAGAAAAGAACCACUUGGCCAACUAAGACUGAAAAGGAGCUUCUUCCACCUGAUUCAGGGCAUCUAAAAAAUCCCACAUCUAACAUCAUAUUUAGUAAUGAAAGACUGAAUGUUUUUUUCCCCAAGAUCAAAAAUAACACAGGGGUGUCCAUUCUCACUACUUCUAGUCAACAUUGUACUGGAGCUUCUCACCAGUGCAAUGAGGCAAGCAAAAGAAGUAAAAGGCACCCAGAUUGAAAUGGAGGAAGUAAAACUGUAUUUAAAGAUGAAAUGAUCAUCUGUGUAGAAAAUCCAAUUGUAUCUACCAAAAAAGCAACAAAAAGCCCUUCUAGAACUAAUAAAUGAAUCCAGCAAGCUGCAAGAUACAAGAUCAAUAUACAUAAAACAAUUAUUAUACCAAAUGUAUAUAGCAAUGAACAACUAGACAUAAGGAUUUUUAAAAUUCCAGAUUUUUAAAAUUCCAGUUCCAGUUUAAAAUUCAUAUCUAAAAAUGUGAAUUAGGAAUAAAUUUGACAAAAUCUGUGAAAGACGUGUACACCUGUAUUGCUAAGAGAAAGAACAAAGAACAAAAUGAAUGGAAAGGAAUAUCUUGUUCACUCAUUGGAAAACUCAGUAUUGCUAACAUGUCGAUUCCUUCUAACAGCUCUAUAGAUUCAACAUAAUACCUAUAAAAAUCUCAGCAGGCUUUUUUUUUUUCAGAAUUUGACAAGCUGAUCCUAAAAUUUGUAUGAAAAUACAAGGGCACCACACAGAAGCCUUGGUUAGGAUCCAGCCUUCCCAUGGGAUCAGGAUAAUGAAAGGAGCCCACAUAGAGAGGGAAAACACUGGAGGGGCCUCCACAAACAGGUCUAUAAAGGAUAUGAACAAGCAGUUUCCUGAAAUUAAAAUCCAAAAAAAGCUAAUGGGCAGAAGAAAAGAUGCUCAAAUGCAUUAGUUAUCAGAGAAAUACAAGACAAAACUACAAUGAGAUUUCACUUAAGGUCUCAUAGGUCCCUCAACAUUUUAAAAAGUUGAAUCGUGCCAAAUCCUGUGGUGGGAAUGCAGGGGCAUAGGGACCCCCAUGCACUUGUAGAAACUUUGGCAGUCAUCCCAUUGCUGAAUGUGGCAGUACACAGUCAAAUUCAUUACCCCCGUGGACUCAAGAAAUUCUCACACAGAUCCAUAAAGGGUAAUGCAGGAGAAUGUUCAUUAUGGUGUGGUUUGCAAUGGUAGGGAGGCAUUCUGGGUGCCCAUCACAGGGGAGUGCAAAGGGAAAUAGUGAAGAAUGCACUCUAUAGCCUUUCAGCAGUUAGAUCAGUGAGUUAGAUAUACACAGAGCAAUACUGAUGAUCUCCAGCACAUAGCACUGGGCAGAAAAAACUAAACCAUAUAACAAAAUACUAUUGACGCCUAACUCUGGGAAACGAACUAGGG